This 360-nucleotide transfer-messenger RNA is filed under the name Clostridia bacterium. It matches the Rfam family "transfer-messenger RNA". From Rfam's summary of the family: Bacterial tmRNA, also known as 10Sa RNA or SsrA, is named for its dual tRNA and mRNA-like properties. Its role is to liberate the mRNA from a stalled ribosome. The record is from RNAcentral. Lineage: Bacteria; Bacillati; Bacillota; Clostridia.
GGGGGCGUAAAGGUUUCGACGGGGACAAAGAAGCUGCGUAAGCGUGCAGAGCCGGGACGACUCUGAAAAACGUUCCAACUAAAUAUAAACGCUAACAACAGCGCAAUCGCUGCCUGAUGGCAGGCUGCGGCUCUGAGAGCCGCCCGUCCUCACCGUGAACACCGUCUGACGGAUGAGGGCGUCAUGAGACGGUGAACGCGAGUCAUGACUUCUCCCUUGCAUUGACCGCGCAUUAAAGGGAUACCGGAAGCGGAGCUUGCCCGCUCACAUGCUGACGGGAAAUAUCAGAACGGGCUACGCACGUAGAAAGCGCUGUGGAGAUGUCUUCGGACACGGGUUCGACUCCCGUCGCCUCCACCA